Molecule: long non-coding RNA, 3253 nt
Organism: Ailuropoda melanoleuca (giant panda)
Lineage: Eukaryota; Metazoa; Chordata; Mammalia; Carnivora; Ursidae
Exons: 4
Source: RefSeq, a predicted model, not a curated record
GGGGAUUAAAAAAAUAACCUUUAUCUGUGUCCUGGCUGCUGCCUCUUCUUUCUUCUUCCUGUGUUUGAAGACUUGAAAGUCCUGGUGGAAACACUGAUGUGUGAAGUGACUGUUGAAGCAGUCACAGCACAAGUAGAGCAAAGAGGACUGUCUAUGGCAUAGAGCUGGCCAUGAGAAGAGGGGAAAGCCACAGUCAUCUCUGGGACACAAGGACCUUGGGUGCUGGACCCCACUUCCUAUGCGGUGGUGGUAGUAAACAGGAGAGACUUGAACAGAACUCACAAGGCCACAAUAAGAAUCCACUCUCGGUUCCUUUAUCCUGCUAUAAUGUGGCACAGGCACUCUGGAAUGCUAUGAGAUGGGAGACAAGAAUAUGAACAAUGAGCUGAAUUUUUUCUUGCCUCCUCUAAAAUUGGUCUUCAGGAGAGUGAAAAGGAAGGUUUGAUUGCUACAUGUUCCAAGAUGAGGGACUCCCAAGUCUUCAUGAUCAUCUUUGCAAUCACUGCUGUUGUUCUGGCUUUUAGAUUGUAGAUAUUUUCUAAGACAGUGUUGGGUUCUGAAGAUGGUUCACAUAUGCCAUUCACUUCUGUGUUGCCUGAGCUCUUCUUAUUGGCCAAAGAAGAGGGUAGCCUUUCUGUACACUCAAGGAGAAUAUAGAGAAUGUAAAUGAAAAGGACUUACUUAGUUAAAACACUUUUUUUUUGCAUAAAGGAAAAUGUGGGGUAUUAUUAAAACUAGUAUGAUUUAAUUUAUUCUUUGAUUUGUGCUAAGACCAAAGUAAAAUUUCAACAGUUGGAUCUGUCCUCGAAUAGUUCAUAAGUUAAGUAAACAGGGCUUCUUGGAUAAGUGCUAUGUAAGAAUAGGAAAAGGCUUCUGCUUUGCCCAUUGAAAACAUGGGCAAAAUAUCUACCCAACACAUCACGUAAGCUCCACAUGCACUAGCUACAAUUUUAUGUUUGUCUGAGAAGUAGAUGGAUGCUUAUUGUAACACUAAUCUCACUGUUUCGUCAUUUGGCUUUCUGACACCUAUCUUGAAAAUGGCUUGUGUGGAUUAAGGCCCAGGUUUCUGUUCCUAUAAUGAAGGUAACACUGAUACCCUGUGUCUAGUUAUAAAGAAUAACAAAGCAGUGAGGAGCCGGUGUAUCUAUUCUUCUUUGUGACAAGGAGUGAUUUAUAGCAACAUGCCAUGCUGAGCUUAUGCUCUAUCUAACAAGGGUAGUUAUGAUUUAAGUGAACCAUGCUAGAUCAAAUUCCAAGGAAAGUUUUGUAAAGUUUAAUUAAAUUCAAUAGAAUGAUUUUGUUUCUGUUUCUAUUUUGCUGGAUCGGAUGUCUGCUAGUGCCACACAAUAAAGGGCCCUAAGACUUGAAUGAAUUUUGCUAUUGAAAUUAAUCAUUCAAAAUAUCUGAUCCUUUGUUUCCUUUCCCUUCUUCUCAUUUCUUUUUGCCACCAGUUUCUCUAUCUUUUGAUUAGUUUUGUUUGUUUAUUUAUUUAUUCAUUUAAGAUGAUCUAUUUGAUUUUAAGGAGAAAUUGGGCAGGGAUAAUCAUCACAGCAAAACUGCAGUAAUAAAAUUAAAAGGAAUCAUACACGGUAUUUGUACAGGAUGUUGAUGCUUACAAAAAAAAAAAAAAUCCCUGAACUCUCAUGAUCUCAUGUAAUUCAAGCUGACUUAAAUCCUUCAUUGUAUUUUAAAUGGGCUUGUUUUAGUGUCUGUAAUUUCAAGUUGUUUUUUUACUAAUUGAUAAAAUUGGAAACAAGUGUGCUGUAAAAAAAUUCAGAGCCAUUUAGAGUGUAAGUCACUAGGUGAUUCUUUUUUUCUUCAAAGUGACAUGGAGGGCUCUGUCAGAUUGAGUGUUCAAGCAGAUAAAUGACUGGGUUGAGAAUUACCAUACGCUUUCCCCUCUUGGCGAGCCACAGCGUCCUGGCGGAGAAACCGUAGCCAGAGCUUCUGUUCUGCAAAGCAUCUCUCCGGAACCUUCCCGCAAAGGCACAGCCUGCACUGAAGCCAGCCCACCGCACCAUCCUUCCCUUUGCAAGCAAAUGCCUGUGGACGGUACAGCUUAGUGGACAAUUACUAAAUUUGCUUUAAGAGUAAAUAUAAUGCCAGAGCGACAAACUAAUCAGUCAAUUGUUAUUUUGACACAUUUAGUUACCUUUUAGAAAAUGCCCUCCUAAUUUUUCGGCUUGACAUGAUCUCCGCGUCCAGUAGAAAGCCGAGGAUUUUUCAUCCCAUUGACAGGAAUCCAUUAAUAAAACAACAAUCUUUUGUGUAUAGUAAUCUUUAAUCUUAUUUUGUCACACACUUCUCAGUAGCAUUUCCACCCGUUUUACAGUAUAAUUUAUGGCACCGAAACAACUCCUGCCCUGGAAAAGGUCACUCUGUCAAGGUUUACUUGUCUUUGAAGAAAAGUAAUAGAGCAUUAUUUAUGAACCAAAGAAUGCACUUCACUACUUUAAUCAAUCAGGAAGAUGCUUGUAUUAUUGUAUCUUUUGCCACUGCCUGCCCUCCCCCCCCCAAAAAAAAACAUAAGCAAAGGAUCUGCCAAUCUUGCUUUCUCUUUUAUGUCGCAGAAGGCCUCUUACCUUUUAUGUCUCUUCUGCUUUUGUGUUUAUGGCGCGAUGAAAGUAACAAGGCUGAUGAUGUCUGAUAUCUGGGAACAAUUUGUAAAUUAUAUGCAAGGGGUUGAUCUUUUCUAAAGAUCAUAGAACCUCUGGACAGAUUAACCAGCUCAUCCAAUAUGCUUAUCAUGUGAAAUUCAUCUGAUAAAACAGAAGGGGAUUUGCAAUUAAAGGCUUCACAGAUAAAGAAAAAGUUGAAGAGGUUUGAAACUGUCUCAGAGAGUAAUCAGCAAAACAAAAGCAAUUAUCAUGUUUUUGUACAGAAGAUCCCAAAACAUAACCACAGUUGGUCCCCAUAUGUUUCUAGAAACCACCAGAAGCACAAAUUAGAACAUGCUGUGUGGGAAAAUGAAUUGGUAGUUCAUUAGAGAAAACAGUUACAGUUUGAAUAAAUGUCUCCAAUAAGGAUUUAAUUUAAGUUACAAAGGAUGUUGGGUGUGAAUUAAAUACCAAUAGAUACCGAUGCCAUCUUAAUAAUUUAAAAGUAUGUGAAAAAUAUAUUUAAUUACAAAAUGGUUAAAGAUGGAUCCAUGCAUUUUUGGUUAUCUAUUUUAUAACACAUGGGUAUGACUGUAAGAAUAUGUUAAAAUAUGUAAAAAUCUAUUGACGACUCUUUAGAGUUUAUUGGAAAAAAU